UGUCUAAGUAUAAGCAAUUAUACCGCGAAACUGCGAAUGGCUCAUUAAAUCAGUUAUCGUUUAUUUGAUAGUGCCUGUCCUACUUGGAUAACCGUGGUAAUUCUAGAGCUAAUACAUGCUAAAAAUCCCGACUUCGGAAGGGAUGCAUUUAUUGGAUACAGAACCAACGCCCUUCGGGGCUUCCUGGUGAAUCACAAUAACUCCGCGGAUCGCACGGCCUUGCGCCGGCGAUGGUUCAUUCAAAUUUCUGCCCUAUCAACUUUCGACGGCUGGGUCUUGGCCAGCCGUGGUGACAACGGGUAACGGAGGGUUAGGGCUUGACCCCGGAGAAGGAGCCUGAGAGACGGCUACUACAUCCAAGGAAGGCAGCAGGCGCGCAAAUUACCCAAUCCCGACUCGGGGAGGUAGUGACAAUAAAUACUGAUCCAGGGCUCUUUUGGGUCUUGGAAUUGGAAUGAGUACAAUUUAAAUCCCUUAACGAGGAACAAUUGGAGGGCAAGUCUGGUGCCAGCAGCCGCGGUAAUUCCAGCUCCAAUAGCGUAUAUUAAAGUUGUUGAGGUUAAAAAGCUCGUAGUUGAACCUUGGCCCUGGCUGGCCGGUCCGCCUCACCGCGAGCACUGGUCCGGCCGGGGCUUUCCCUCUGGGGACCCUCAUGCCCUUCACUGGGUGUGCUGGAGAACCAGGACUUUUACUGUGAACAAAUCAGAUCGCUCAAAGAAGGCUCUCGCUCGAAUGCUUCAGCAUGGAAUAAUAAAAUAGGACGUGCGGUUCUAUUUUG
RNAcentral lists this ribosomal RNA (778 nucleotides) under sordariomycete sp. CMCA10. RNAcentral's name for it is "SSU rRNA". It matches the Rfam family "Eukaryotic small subunit ribosomal RNA", at positions 56 to 844 of the family's 1831-position model. Lineage: Eukaryota; Fungi; Ascomycota; Sordariomycetes. The record is from RNAcentral.